UGAAUACGAGACGCUAAGGCGUCGAAGUAGUGUAUGUCAUACUUCCAAGAAAAGCUUGCACUGUCAUAAGUAAAAAAUGCCUGUACCAUAACCGACACAGGUGGGUAGGUAGAGUAUACUAAGGGGCGCGAGAUAACUCUCUCUAAGGAACUCGGCAAAAUAACUCCGUAACUUCGGGAGAAGGAGUACCUUAUUCUAUAAGGUUGCAAUAACAAGAUCCAAGCAACUGUUUAUCAAAAACACAGGUCUCCGCUAAGUCGUAAGACGAUGUAUGGGGGCUGACGCCUGCCCAGUGCCAGAAGGUUAAAGAAGUCGGUUAGCAUUAGCGAAGCUGGUAACUGAAGCCCUGGUGAACGGCGGCCGUAACUAUAACGGUCCUAAGGUAGCGAAAUUCCUUGUCGGGUAAGUUCCGACCCGCACGAAAGGCGUAAUGAUUUGGAUACUGUCUCGGAGAGGGGCUCGGUGAAAUAGACUUGUCUGUGAAGAUGCGGACUACCUGCACCAGGACAGAAAGACCCUAUGAAGCUUUACUGUAACUUGAAAUUGAAAUUGGACUUUAUUCGCGCAGUAUAGGUGGGAGGUGUUGAUUAUAAUCUUGCGGGAUUAUUGGAGCCAUCAGUGAGAUACCACUCUUGUAAUGUUAGAUUUCUAACUUUGAAUCAUUAUCUGGUCAAAGGACAGUUUCAGGCGGGCAGUUUGACUGGGGCGGUCGCCUCCCAAACGGUAACGGAGGCGUACAAAGGUUUCCUCUGAACGGGUAGAAAUCGUAUCUAGAGUGUAAAGGCAUAAGGAAGCUUGACUGUGAGACCUACAAGUCGAACAGGGACGAAAGUCGGUCUUAGUGAUCUGACGGUACUGAGUGGAAAGGCCGUCACUCAACGGAUAAAAGUUACUCUAGGAUAACAGGCUGAUCUCCCCCAAGAGUUCACAUCGACGGGGAGGUUUGGCACCUCGAUGUCGGCUCAUCGCAUCCUGGGGCGGUAGUACGUCCCAAGGGUUGGGCUGUUCGCCCAUGAAAGCGGUACGCGAGCUGGGUUCAGAACGUCGUGAGACAGUUCGGUCCAUAUCCGGUGUAGGCGUUAGAAUAUUGAGAGGAGCCUUCUUUAGUACGAGAGGACCGAGAAGGACAUACCUCUGGUGUACCAGUUAUCGUGCCAACGGUAAACGCUGGGUAGCUAUGUAUGGAGUGGAUAACCGCUGAAAGCACCUAAGUGGGAAGCCCACCUCAAGAUGAGUGCUCUCACAGGGUUAACCUGGUAAGGUCACGGGAAGACCACCCGUU
This 1282-nucleotide ribosomal RNA is filed under the name metagenome. Its description in RNAcentral is "bacterial LSU rRNA". It matches the Rfam family "Bacterial large subunit ribosomal RNA", at positions 1564 to 2853 of the family's 2925-position model. The record is from RNAcentral.